GCUUCGCCAGGUUCGCGCGCUUCGCCAGGUUCGCGCGCCGGCGCCGGUCGGGCAGGCGCAGAGGUGGCGCGCGAGCCCGCGACCGCAGCCCACCUGGCGGCGGCGCUCCCAGCUUCCUCCUCCCGGCUCUCGCUCAGCGAGCCCUCGCUCUGCUCGCGCUCUUCCAGCCGCGGCGGCUCGCCGCUCCCGCGGGUUUCGUGCAGCCCGCGUGCCCCGUCCCUAGGUUGAGUUAAUUAAGAGAAGGUCUCCAUGGAAACGGUUGACACCUGAGAUUUCCACCCCUGGAAUUCACACCCUGUAUAAUCCGCACCCCCACCCCUGAGGUGGACCUGUAAAAAUGACGAGAUCAUCACUUCCAUGAUUAUGUUAUUUGUACAAGACUUCACUGUACCAGAACAAAAGAGACUUUCUCCUGCUGACUUUGAAGAAGUAAGUUGUCAUGAUGUGAGAGGGCCAGGUGGUUAGAACAUGAGCCUUGCCUCCUGGGGGCUGAGGAGUGUGCCCCAGCCUACAGCCAGCCAGAACACAGGGAUCUCAGUCCUACAAUCACAAGGAACUUAAAUGUGCCAGUAACUUGAAUGAGCCUGGAAAAAGAGGACCCACAGCUUCAGAUGAGAUCACAGUCCCAACUAACAACUUGACUUCAACCUGGUGAGAACCUGAGCAGAGCCCAGACUCCUGAUUCACAGAAACCAUCGGAUAAUAAAUGUUUGGAUUUAAGACAUGAAA
This is a long non-coding RNA of Panthera uncia (snow leopard), 729 nucleotides long. RefSeq lists it as uncharacterized. NCBI's taxonomy places the organism in Eukaryota, Metazoa, Chordata, Mammalia, Carnivora, Felidae. The transcript is spliced from 2 exons. The record is from RefSeq and is a predicted model, not a curated record.